Molecule: ribosomal RNA, 470 nt
Filed under: uncultured bacterium
Lineage: Bacteria
Description: partial 16S ribosomal RNA
Rfam family: Bacterial small subunit ribosomal RNA
Source: RNAcentral
GACGAACGCUGGCGGCGUGCUUAACACAUGCAAGUCGAACGGAGAACCAGGGCGCUUGCUCCCUCCGGGUCAGGGGCGCACGUGUGAGUAACACGUGUGCAAUCCGCUCCGAACUCGGGGAUAAGCGUUGGAAACGACGUCUAAUACCGGAUACGACGCGGGAGCGCAUCCUGUCUGCGUGGAAUGCGCGUCGGUUGGGGAUGGGCUCGCGGCUUAUCAGCUUGUUGGUGGGGUAGCGGCUCACCAAGGCGGCGACGGGUAGCCGGCCUGAGAGGGUGACCGGCCACACUGGGACUGAGACACGGCCCAGACUCCUACGGGAGGCAGCAGUGGGGAAUAUUGCACAAUGGGCGCAAGCCUGAUGCAGCAACGCCGCGUGAGGGAUGACGGCCUUCGGGUUGUAAACCGCUUUUAGCAGGGACGAAGCGAAAGUGACGGUACCUGCAGAAAAAGCACCGGCUAACUACGUG